AAAUAUCCAGCACGCAACCGCGCUGUUGCCAGAUUUACAUAGCGGGAAUUUUAAAAUUUCUAAUGCGAAUUGGUUUAAAAUUUGACAUCCGAAUCUUAACCUUACUUUUGUGAUUAUUUAUCUUAUUUAUUUACAAAUGUAAAUAAAUUAAAACAAGUAUUGUAUGUACUGUGUUAUAAUUUAAAACGCUUAAUUAUGUUAGUCCUAAAAAAAUUAAGCCCAAAAGAGAUAUACUUGUUUACAGUGCAAAUUAAUGGCAAUAGGGAUUUACGAUUUCAUUUGCAGGAAAAACAUGGGCAACCUACCCAGUUGGUAAAAUUUCAAUUCAAAAACUCUUUAGAUUUUACUGUGUGGAUGGCAUAGGAAGAGAAACAAAAUAAUAUUCAGUACUGCAGUCACAGGAGUACAAAAACAUGAAGCAUCUUAUUAUGUAUGUAUGCCAUUCUCAAACAAUAAUUAUUGUACAAAACAAGAUAAAGAUAGAGACACAGCUUUAAAAUCCCAAGGAUCCUGCGAAAAGAAAAGUGAAAAUGUUGUCUCAAUUAAUGUAGUAUAGAUAGACAUUUUUCUUUAUUUUAGUAUUAAAUAAUUAUUUAGAAUAUUAAUAUGUAUUAGUUUUAAUAGUAUUAAUAUGUAUUGUAUGAAUAAUUCCCAUCAUGUAUCUGCUAGCUAAAGCAACAAAAUAAAUCAAAAUGAAAAAACAUUUCA
Molecule: long non-coding RNA, 708 nt
Organism: Diabrotica virgifera virgifera (western corn rootworm)
Lineage: Eukaryota; Metazoa; Arthropoda; Insecta; Coleoptera; Chrysomelidae
Exons: 2
Source: RefSeq, a predicted model, not a curated record